This 745-nucleotide ribosomal RNA is filed under the name uncultured Alphaproteobacteria bacterium. RNAcentral's name for it is "bacterial SSU rRNA". It matches the Rfam family "Bacterial small subunit ribosomal RNA", at positions 29 to 828 of the family's 1533-position model. The record is from RNAcentral. Lineage: Bacteria; Pseudomonadati; Pseudomonadota; Alphaproteobacteria.
ACGUACGCUGGCGGCCGCUCACCAUGCAAGUCGAACGAAGUACAAUAUUAGUGGCAGACGGGUGAGUAACAUGUAGGUAUCUGCCCUUGGCCUGGAAUAACACGAGGAAACUUGUGCUAAUACCGGAUAAGUCUUUACGGAGAAAGCUUUAUGCACCAUUGGAUGAGCCUGCAUUUGAUUAGUUUGUUGGUGGGGUAAUGGCCUACCAAGACUGUGAUCAAUAGCUGAUUUGAGAGGAUGAUCAGCCACAUUGGGACUGAGACACGGCCCAAACUCCUACGGGAGGCAGCAGUGGGGAAUCUUGCACAAUGGAGGAAACUCUGAUGCAGCGAUGCCGCGUGAGUGAAGAAGGCCUUUGGGUUGUACAGCUCUUUCGUCGGGGAAGAAAAUGACUGUACCCGAAUAAGAAGGUCCGGAUAACUUCGUGCCAGCAGCCGCGGUAAUACGAAGGGACCUAGCGUAGUUCGGAAUUACUGGGCUUAAAGAGUUCGUAGGUGGUUGAAAAAGUUAGUGGUGAAAUCCCAGAGCUUAACUCUGGAACUGCCAUUAAAACUUUUCAGCUAGAGUAUGAUAGAGGAAAGCAGAAUUUCUAGUGUAGAGGUGAAAUUCGUAGAUUUUAGAAAGAAUCACCAUUGCGAAAGCAGCUUCUGGAUCCUUACUGACACUGAGGAACGAAAGCUUGGGUAGCGCAAGAGGAUAGAUACCCUCGUAGUCAUGCCGUAACGAUGUGUGUUUGACGUUGGAA